UCUCCAAUUCACUCCAUAUUUUUCGUUUUCUCCUCAGCUGUUCUGCUUCUUCUCUCUUCCAAACAUCUUUCCAAACUCAGUAAGAACACAAGUUGGACCACGAGCUUCAUCGAGUGAAUUGAAGGUGGGGUUGAAGACGAAAACUGAAUUGGAGAUGGGUAGGAGCUUUCUCAAAGUGCUGGGAGAUGGUUCUGCGCCUUUGUUCAUGGCAAGAGAACAUGUCAUUGUUUGAACCUUGCAACUGACUUCACUAUGCGAAGCCGGAUGAGGAUUUUGAUUAUAUCUUCACUCCUUCGUUGGAUUUGUGAACAAAAGAAGUCAAAUUCUGGAAUUGUCUUGCUUGUCAGAAACUUUGGGAUUUCAAAAUUGCUUCAUGGCAUUGGAUUUUGGUUGAGGCAAAUCUGAACAAGGCAGAGUGCAGUUGCUGUUUUGGUUGCCGAUGAAUUGGGAGCCUGUUUCGAGUCGCUGUUCCUCAUUCUUUUGUAGCAACGUGAUGCCCGCCAACUGUUCGAUGAAAGGCCAAAGACAUUCUCUGCAGAAUUUGAUUGAGACUUUUGGCUUAUUUGCUGUGCUUUUGGAAGAACCCACUUCUUUUCUUAUUUGCUCAAUUACACAUCCGAAAGAAGGACAGGUGCCGCUUCGUCAGUACUUGUAGGAUAGGUGCAGAUGCAGACAAGAACUUUGACAACAAACACCAUCUUGCCGUAACAAGGCUUUGAACACAACCUUGAUGGAGGUGUACUGGAUAUACGCAGGACGCACCGCCAUAUAAGCAUCGAAAAACAAAGUGAGGCAAGAAUGGCGUUGUGGUUUUGAUUUGUUCCAGAGAGACUAUUGUGGGCAGUAGCUUGGCUUCUCCGUUAUUGCUGAUGUGGUAAUCGCCUUGGUCAUCAGCAGGAGAUUAUGAGGAUAAGAGCAACAACAGACGCUCCAGAGAGACUUUGGCCAUGCUCACCAUUUGUUGUAUUUGGGGUGACGUUAAAGAUGACACCUACUAACGUCUGCAUCAUGAAAGAGAAAGCUCAGUAAUUUCAGGUGAUAAUUAUAAUCAUAUGCCUGUGAUUUAUGAAGCUUUUUCUACUACAAAGUGGUUCUCCGUCAGGCUUCUCUUGAAAAGCUUUAAGGAUGGGAUGUUGUAGAGCUUCGACGUUGUGUGAACUCUCUCUUCUCUGUCUUGCCUCAAUGUUGCUGGCUUUUGCUCUUUGAUGUUGCAGUGCUUUCGCCUAUUUUUUUUUUGCUCUCCAGUGUUUCUGCUACCCUCCCUCUCUCUUUGUUUUUUGCUUCUCUUUUUGCUGCCCUUUUUGCUUUUGCUCGCCUCCCCUCUGUUGCCCUUUCUGCUUCUGCUCGCCUCCCCCUUUCCAUCAGUGUAGUAGCUCCUUUUAUAGGGGAGUAAUGGAUGAGGUAGAGCUGAGGAUGACUCCUAUUUGAAUUUGAAAUGAUUUGAUAUUCAAAUCGGUUUGACCAAGUUUGGUGAUGAGAUUUGAAUUGAUUACAGUUAGCUUGACUUUUAUCAUAAUUGAAGAUCCACCUUGGACGUUGAUUUGCAUGCCUGCUUGUUCUCCAACUAAUCAUCCACUUGUUUUGAUGGAGUCUGGUGGUUUUGAAUUUGAAUUGGGAUGCAAAUAUCCAAUAAACUAUAUUCACUCCAAUUUAAACGAUAAGGCUGUGCUACCCAUGAAACCAAGUAGUCAUCAUAUUGACUUGAACUGGUUCUGUAUUUUGACCUACAGUACUCCAUCUUUUGAACAAACAUGUGAGUUUGUUAUAUUAUUUCCACCCAACAAGCGACACAUUGUAUUUCUAAACGAAGGCCUUUAUUGAAUUGGGUUUGUAUUUUUUUUUUCUUCAUUUAAACAGCUGCGGUGCUGCUGGCGCAAGCUCAU
Molecule: long non-coding RNA, 1883 nt
Organism: Rosa chinensis
Lineage: Eukaryota; Viridiplantae; Streptophyta; Magnoliopsida; Rosales; Rosaceae
Exons: 3
Source: RefSeq, a predicted model, not a curated record